Molecule: non-coding RNA, 123 nt
Organism: Phascolarctos cinereus (koala)
Lineage: Eukaryota; Metazoa; Chordata; Mammalia; Diprotodontia; Phascolarctidae
Source: RefSeq, a predicted model, not a curated record
AGUUCCUCUCACCUGGAGGGGAUGGAUUGUGAAUGCUUGGGAAGUAGAGUCUAAAUGUGGGAAAAUUUGGGGAGAUGGAGGUGGGAGGCAUGCAGACCUGAAAAUAAAAUAAAACUGAAGUUU